This 253-nucleotide ribosomal RNA is filed under the name uncultured bacterium. Its description in RNAcentral is "partial 16S ribosomal RNA". It matches the Rfam family "Bacterial small subunit ribosomal RNA", at positions 524 to 776 of the family's 1533-position model. The record is from RNAcentral.
UACGAAGGGGGCUAGCGUUGUUCGGAUUUACUGGGCGUAAAGCGCACGUAGGCGGAUCGUUAAGUCGGGGGUGAAAUCCUGGAGCUCAACUCCAGAACUGCCUUCGAUACUGGCGAUCUUGAGUCCGGAAGAGGUGAGUGGAACUCCUAGUGUAGAGGUGGAAUUCGUAGAUAUUAGGAAGAACACCAGUGGCGAAGGCGGUGCUCUGGGCCGGAACUGACGCUGAGGAGCGAAAGCGUGGGGAGCAAACAGG